Monopterus albus (swamp eel) is the source of this 215-nucleotide long non-coding RNA. RefSeq lists it as uncharacterized. The transcript is spliced from 3 exons. The record is from RefSeq and is a predicted model, not a curated record. Lineage: Eukaryota; Metazoa; Chordata; Actinopteri; Synbranchiformes; Synbranchidae.
AGGGUGUGUGAAGUGGAAGGGAGGAAGCACAUCUGCUGUAGAAACAAGGUGGUGCAGAAUCUGUAUGACAUGUUCCACACAAGGAACUACAUCCACAGAAUAGCUUGUGAGCACAAAGUGAACACAAUCAUACAGCACAUGAUCAAAGACGCCUUCUUAAAAGCAGAUGGGCACUUGAAGAUAAAAGGCUCAGGAGGGACGGAGUGGACUCUCUC